GAUUAAGUUAUUAAGGGCGCACGGUGGAUGCCUUGGCACUAGAAGCCGAUGAAGGACGUUACUAACGACGAUAUGCUUUGGGGAGCUGUAAGUAAGCUUUGAUCCAGAGAUUUCCGAAUGGGGAAACCCAGCAUGAGUUAUGUCAUGUUAUCGAUAUGUGAAUACAUAGCAUAUCAGAAGGCACACCCGGAGAACUGAAACAUCUUAGUACCCGGAGGAAGAGAAAGAAAAUUCGAUUCCCUUAGUAGCGGCGAGCGAAACGGGAAGAGCCCAAACCAACAAGCUUGCUUGUUGGGGUUGUAGGACACUCUAUACGGAGUUACAAAGGACGACAUUAGACGAAUCAUCUGGAAAGAUGAAUCAAAGAAGGUAAUAAUCCUGUAGUCGAAAAUGUUGUCUCUCUUGAGUGGAUCCUGAGUACGACGGAGCACGUGAAAUUCCGUCGGAAUCUGGGAGGACCAUCUCCUAAGGCUAAAUACUCUCUAGUGACCGAUAGUGAACCAGUACCGUGAGGGAAAGGUGAAAAGCACCCCGGAAGGGGAGUGAAAUAGAACCUGAAACCGUGUGCUUACAAGUAGUCAGAGCCCGUUAAUGGGUGAUGGCGUGCCUUUUGUAGAAUGAACCGGCGAGUUACGAUUUGAUGCAAGGUUAAGCAGUAAAUGUGGAGCCGUAGCGAAAGCGAGUCUGAAUAGGGCGUUUAGUAUUUGGUCGUAGACCCGAAACCAGGUGAUCUACCCUUGGUCAGGUUGAAGUUCAGGUAACACUGAAUGGAGGACCGAACCGACUUACGUUGAAAAGUGAGCGGAUGAACUGAGGGUAGCGGAGAAAUUCCAAUCGAACCUGGAGAUAGCUGGUUCUCUCCGAAAUAGCUUUAGGGCUAGCCUCAAGUGAUGAUUAUUGGAGGUAGAGCACUGUUUGGACGAGGGGCCCCUCUCGGGUUACCGAAUUCAGACAAACUCCGAAUGCCAAUUAAUUUAACUUGGGAGUCAGAACAUGGGUGAUAAGGUCCGUGUUCGAAAGGGAAACAGCCCAGACCACCAGCUAAGGUCCCAAAAUAUAUGUUAAGUGGAAAAGGAUGUGGCGUUGCCCAGACAACUAGGAUGUUGGCUUAGAAGCAGCCAUCAUUUAAAGAGUGCGUAAUAGCUCACUAGUCGAGUGACACUGCGCCGAAAAUGUACCGGGGCUAAACAUAUUACCGAAGCUGUGGAUUGUCCUUUGGACAAUGGUAGGAGAGCGUUCUAAGGGCGUUGAAGCAUGAUCGUAAGGACAUGUGGAGCGCUUAGAAGUGAGAAUGCCGGUGUGAGUAGCGAAAGACGGGUGAGAAUCCCGUCCACCGAUUGACUAAGGUUUCCAGAGGAAGGCUCGUCCGCUCUGGGUUAGUCGGGUCCUAAGCUGAGGCCGACAGGCGUAGGCGAUGGAUAACAGGUUGAUAUUCCUGUACCACCUAUAAUCGUUUUAAUCGAUGGGGGGACGCAGUAGGAUAGGCGAAGCGUGCGAUUGGAUUGCACGUCUAAGCAGUAAGGCUGAGUAUUAGGCAAAUCCGGUACUCGUUAAGGCUGAGCUGUGAUGGGGAGAAGACAUUGUGUCUUCGAGUCGUUGAUUUCACACUGCCGAGAAAAGCCUCUAGAUAGAAAAUAGGUGCCCGUACCGCAAACCGACACAGGUAGUCAAGAUGAGAAUUCUAAGGUGAGCGAGCGAACUCUCGUUAAGGAACUCGGCAAAAUGACCCCGUAACUUCGGGAGAAGGGGUGCUCUUUAGGGUUAACGCCCAGAAGAGCCGCAGUGAAUAGGCCCAAGCGACUGUUUAUCAAAAACACAGGUCUCUGCUAAACCGUAAGGUGAUGUAUAGGGGCUGACGCCUGCCCGGUGCUGGAAGGUUAAGAGGAGUGGUUAGCUUCUGCGAAGCUACGAAUCGAAGCCCCAGUAAACGGCGGCCGUAACUAUAACGGUCCUAAGGUAGCGAAAUUCCUUGUCGGGUAAGUUCCGACCCGCACGAAAGGCGUAACGAUUUGGGCACUGUCUCAACGAGAGACUCGGUGAAAUCAUAGUACC
This 2052-nucleotide ribosomal RNA is filed under the name Staphylococcus aureus. Its description in RNAcentral is "partial 23S ribosomal RNA". It matches the Rfam family "Bacterial large subunit ribosomal RNA", at positions 1 to 2051 of the family's 2925-position model. Lineage: Bacteria; Bacillati; Bacillota; Bacilli; Caryophanales; Staphylococcaceae. The record is from RNAcentral.